This 465-nucleotide ribosomal RNA is filed under the name Vreelandella stevensii. RNAcentral's name for it is "partial 16S ribosomal RNA". It matches the Rfam family "Bacterial small subunit ribosomal RNA", at positions 338 to 795 of the family's 1533-position model. Lineage: Bacteria; Pseudomonadati; Pseudomonadota; Gammaproteobacteria; Oceanospirillales; Halomonadaceae. The record is from RNAcentral.
CCUACGGGUGGCAGCAGUGGGGAAUAUUGGACAAUGGGGGGAACCCUGAUCCAGCCAUGCCGCGUGUGUGAAGAAGGCCCUCGGGUUGUAAAGCACUUUCAGUGAGGAAGAACGCCUGGUGGUUAAUACCCAUCAGGAAAGACAUCACUCACAGAAGAAGCACCGGCUAACUCCGUGCCAGCAGCCGCGGUAAUACGGAGGGUGCGAGCGUUAAUCGGAAUUACUGGGCAUAAAGCGCGCGUAGGUGGCUUGAUAAGCCGGUUGUGAAAGCCCCGGGCUCAACCUGGGAACGGCAUCCGGAACUGUCAAGCUAGAGUGCAGGAGAGGAAGGUAGAAUUCCCGGUGUAGCGGUGAAAUGCGUAGAGAUCGGGAGGAAUACCAGUGGCGAAGGCGGCCUUCUGGACUGACACUGACACUGAGGUGCGAAAGCGUGGGUAGCAAACAGGAUUAGAUACCCGGGUAGUC